UCGGCCUGAGUGUAAAUAAGCCUCAGGACGUUUGGUUCUCGAAACACUUGGUACUCAAACCACUUGGUCUCUAAAAUGUCUCAGAGUGAUUGUAAUUAGGGAAAAGUGUACCAAGUGGGAGUCAAACGGUUAAACAUCAAUUAUACAGCUUUGUGACUCGUCUCUGAUCGCCGCCACACAGACACACACACACUCAGGGCGGUGAAGCGGGUGGAAGUGCAUUGUUAUUACCUCCAUACACCACGGUAUCCUUAGCGCCCCUCCAAGCCUUGGCCCUAGACUCGGGUGUGUAGGAGGAAGAGGAGGAGGAGGGGCAAGGAGGAGUAUGGGUACCAUUCGCCCCAGUACCAAGUGACUGCAAACCAAGAGAGCAUGGUGGCGGGAGGUGUAAUGGUGCACGGCGCGAUGGUGAGACAUGGUGGUAAUGGUGCAGAGCGAGGAAAUGCUGAAAUUACUGGCGGUGGCAGGGAGGCGUAGGCGUGGCGCUAGGACGGUGUAGUGAUGAUGACUUCCUUGGCAAGUACGAACCACUCUUGCCCGGCUAUCAGCGACGCCGUCUGCGUGAGAACGCACUGGAGUUCCCGACGAGAAGAACCGCGGUGGAAGUUCUGACGAAGGGAGGAGGGCGUCGGUAAUUUCCAAGCAGUCCAGGAUGUGUUAGACUGGCCGCAGUGGGUUUGGAUUCAAGGCGAAGCGGAAACCAGUGCUUCUUGUGUUGGGGAGAGAGGAAGCCGCAGCGGGGAGUGUGAGUGAAGGCGAGUGGAAAGAAAGAGGCGCUGCAGUAUUUUGCAAGGAGGAGCGAGCACACAGCCACGCCUCUCCAGCCCUCGCCUUGCUUUGCUUUGCUUUACCACGCCUUCCCUCACUCCCUCACUUCCUUGAUUCAUUACAAAACUCUUCCACACCAUUCCUCCAUCAUUCACGAAUCUUUAUCGUACCACAGCAUCCUCUCGUCUCCAGCCAUCUCAUGCUGCCAUUGACAUUCGUGAAAGAAAACCAAUAAUUAUGAAAGGAUUGCGUAGAAAUGUGCAGCCAAUGUGCAAUACAUGCAUCAUAAGCAAACGCCUUUCAUUAUUGGCUAAGCAGAAGAUCCCUUGGUACAUGCUGUAGAGAAGAUUAAAGAUAUAUUCCUGAAACGUUGCUUCCAGCCGGGGUUGGUGGCGCGGCCCUGUAAUCCGGCGACGCGGAGGCUUGGCCCAGUGGACGGCUUGAGGCGAGGGUGGCUGCUGCGGGACUCCCCAUGUUGAGUGGGCGUCCGCACUAAGCUCGGCAUCAAUAUGGCCGCCCCUGGGGAGCCGGGGGCGUCCAGGUUGCCUAAGGAGGUGUGAACCAGGCCAGGGGGGAAACCCAGCAGCCAAAAGCACCCGUGUGGAGCAGCAGUGGGAUCGCGCCCGUGAGUGGGCGGCGCGCAGUAGCCUUGCCAACACAGGCGGACCUGGUACUUUUAUUUUAUUCUUCUCAUUUUUGUCUACCAUUGUGUAAGAAGACAUUCUUGUAAGACAUAACAACAGAUACUUGUAUGUCCACGCGUUAUUCACUCUUCUUCACCAUCUGCUGUGGAGUUUAUUUUUUUAUCGUUACUUCAAAGUAUCGAAAAAUAUGUAAUUACUUUAUCAUUCACUUGCCCAUUGAAAACUCACCAUACAUCUGGAAUAUCAAUAGUGGAAAGAUUAGAAUUAACAGUAAUAAAUUUUAACACUGCUUUCUCUACACGUGCGAAGA
This is a long non-coding RNA of Scylla paramamosain (green mud crab), 1722 nucleotides long. RefSeq lists it as uncharacterized. The transcript has 3 exons. Lineage: Eukaryota; Metazoa; Arthropoda; Malacostraca; Decapoda; Portunidae. The record is from RefSeq and is a predicted model, not a curated record.